AUUGAACGCUGGCGGCAUACUUUACACAUGCAAGUCGAACGGCAGCACGGACUUCGGUCUGGUGACGAGUGGCGAACGGGUGAGUAAUACAUCGGAACGUGCCCAGUUGUGGGGGAUAACUACUCGAAAGAGUAGCUAAUACCGCAUGAGAACUGAGGUUGAAAGCAGGGGAUCGUAAGACCUUGCGCAACUGGAGCGGCCGAGGGCAGAUUAGGUAGUUGGUGGGAUAAAAGCUUACCAGGCCGACGAUCUGUAGCUGGUCUGAGAGGACGACCAGCCACACUGGGACUGAGACACAGCCCAGACUCCUACGGGAGGCAGCAGUGGGGAAUUUUGGACAAUGGGCGAAAGCCUGAUCCAGCAAUGCCGCGUGCAGGAUGAAGGCCUUCGGGUUGUAAACUGCUUUUGUACGGAACGAAAAGCUUCGGGUUAAUACCCUGGAGUCAUGACGGUACCGUAAGAAUAAGCACCGGCUAACUACGUGCCAGCCGCCGCCGUAA
Molecule: ribosomal RNA, 500 nt
Filed under: uncultured bacterium
Lineage: Bacteria
Description: partial 16S ribosomal RNA
Rfam family: Bacterial small subunit ribosomal RNA
Source: RNAcentral